This is a long non-coding RNA of Branchiostoma floridae (Florida lancelet), 204 nucleotides long. RefSeq lists it as uncharacterized. The record is from RefSeq and is a predicted model, not a curated record. Lineage: Eukaryota; Metazoa; Chordata; Leptocardii; Amphioxiformes; Branchiostomatidae. The transcript has 3 exons.
CAUUACAAACUUUUCUUUUUUGUUGAUUUGUUCACCAGUAAUCCUGGCUGAGUCAAUCUUUUGUAGCGUCGACCCGUACAUGUGGACAUUUAGCAGAGGUUUGUCCGAAGGCGUAACCAUGAUCGGGGAGUGCUGUGCUCGCGUGAUCGAGUCGAAGAGCUCAGACUUCCCCGUGGGUACCAUCGUCAUGCACCGUUAUGGCUG